GGUCAUUAGAUGGAAGUAAAAGUCGUAANCAGGNUCUCCAGUAGGCUGAUCCCUGCGGAAGGGAUCAUUA
Molecule: ribosomal RNA, 70 nt
Filed under: Inocybe cincinnata
Lineage: Eukaryota; Fungi; Basidiomycota; Agaricomycetes; Agaricales; Inocybaceae
Description: partial 18S ribosomal RNA
Source: RNAcentral